This 502-nucleotide ribosomal RNA is filed under the name uncultured bacterium. Its description in RNAcentral is "partial 16S ribosomal RNA". It matches the Rfam family "Bacterial small subunit ribosomal RNA", at positions 28 to 507 of the family's 1533-position model. The record is from RNAcentral.
GACGAACGCUGGCGGCGUGCCUAAUACAUGCAAGUCGAACGAACCGCGACUAGGUGCUUGCACUUGGUCAAGGUGAGUGGCGAACGGGUGAGUAACACGUGGGUAACCUACCUCAUAGUGGGGGAUAACAGUCGGAAACGACUGCUAAUACCGCAUAGGACAUAGGAUCACAUGAUCCAGUGAGGAAAGGUGGCGCAAGCUAUCGCUAAGAGAUGGACCCGCGGUGCAUUAGCUAGUUGGUAGGGUAAAGGCCUACCAAGGCGAUGAUGCAUAGCCGACCUGAGAGGGUGAUCGGCCACAUCGGGACUGAGACACGGCCCAAACUCCUACGGGAGGCAGCAGUAGGGAAUCUUCCGCAAUGGACGCAAGUCUGACGGAGCAACGCCGCGUGAGUGAAGAAGGUCUUCGGAUCGUAAAGCUCUGUUGUUAGAGAAGAACAGCGCAUAGAGUAACUGUUAUGCGUGUGACGGUAUCUAACCAGAAAGCCACGGCUAACUACGUG